CUUGAAUUAAAAGGAUAUGCCAGGUAUUAUGACCAGUACAACACAAUUUAGAGGUUCUGGUGCCAGGAGUCCCCUGGCGCCAUGCCACAGUUAGCAUUCAAACUAUUUAUGACCAGCAUAUCAACGCUUGACAUUAGUCAUUGACUGAUACUGUCUACACACACUGUCAACCAAAGAAUAAUGUCCAAAGGUACACAAAAUUGAUGUUGGUAAUUCAGUAGUAUGAAGUAAGGUUUUU
Pelobates cultripes (western spadefoot toad) is the source of this 238-nucleotide non-coding RNA. Lineage: Eukaryota; Metazoa; Chordata; Amphibia; Anura; Pelobatidae. The record is from the annotation of a GenBank genome assembly.